Molecule: ribosomal RNA, 854 nt
Filed under: uncultured bacterium
Lineage: Bacteria
Description: bacterial SSU rRNA
Rfam family: Bacterial small subunit ribosomal RNA
Source: RNAcentral
UGGCGGCGUGGAUAAGACAUGCAAGUCGAACGGGGUUAUAAUUGUAGUAAUACAAUUAUAGCUUAGUGGCGAACGGGUGCGUAACACGUGAGUAAUCUGCCGGGAAGUGUGGGAUAGCUCGCCGAAAGGCGAAUUAAUACCGCAUGUGGCUAGGGGUGACAUCACUCCGAAGCCAAAGUCGCAAGACGCUUCCUGAUGAGCUCGCGGCCUAUCAGCUAGUUGGUGAGGUAACGGCUCACCAAGGCAAUGACGGGUAGCUGGUCUGAGAGGACGACCAGCCACACUGGAACUGAGACACGGUCCAGACACCUACGGGUGGCAGCAGUCGAGAAUUUUUCACAAUGGGGGAAACCCUGAUGGAGCGACGCCGCGUGGAGGACGAAGGUCUUCGGAUUGUAAACUCCUGUCAUGCGGGAACAAGAAAGUGAUAGUACUGCAAGAGGAAGAGACGGCUAACUCUGUGCCAGCAGCCGCGGUAAUACAGAGGUCUCAAGCGUUGUUCGGAUUCAUUGGGCGUAAAGGGUGCGUAGGUGGCGUGGAAAGUUGAGUGUGAAAUCCUAGGGCUUAACCUUAGAACUGCACUCAAUACUCCCAUGCUAGAGGAAUGUAGAGGAGAGUGGAAUUCACGGUGUAGCAGUGAAAUGCGUAGAUAUCGUGAGGAAGACCAGUUGCGAAGGCGACUCUCUGGGCAUCUCCUGACACUGAGGCACGAAGGCUAGGGGAGCAAACGGGAUUAGAUACCCCGGUAGUCCUAGCAGUAAACGGUGCACGUUUGGUGUGGGCAGGCUCAGACCCUGUCCGUGCCGGAGCUAACGCGUUAAACGUGCCGCCUGGGAAGUACGGUCGCAAGAUUA